RNAcentral lists this long non-coding RNA (1390 nucleotides) under Elaeis guineensis (African oil palm). RNAcentral describes it as "long non-coding RNA (EGUI_LNC014631)". Lineage: Eukaryota; Viridiplantae; Streptophyta; Magnoliopsida; Arecales; Arecaceae. The record is from RNAcentral.
GGUGCCAAAAAUUGAUAAGUCACAAUGUUGUCAUUAGAACACUAUGAUUAUCAAAUUAAUUUUAAUUUUUUUAAAAAAAAUAUUAAAAAUAUAUAGAAAAUAGCGAGUCGGAUUGAAUCCACAAAGAAGGUAGUGCUUUGAUUUGUUAACUUUAUUUUUUAUAAAAAAAUAAAAUUUUGAGAAAAAUAAUUUAAGUCAAAAAAUAGAAAUUAAAAAUAUAAAAAAAUAAAUCAAGUACUAAGAUCUGCUAUCUAGAUCCUAACUUCUAUUUGUAAUAAAAAUAAAAGAUAAAAAUUUAAAGUACAUAAAAAUAAAUUGAUACUAAGAUCUACUAACUAGAUCUUAGUAUCUACUUGCAAUAAAAAUAAAGAGCAGAAAUUUAAAAGCGCAAUAACAUAGAUUUUGCAUUAAUUGAAAGUGAAGUUCAAUUAUAAAAAAUUUAAAAAAAUAAUAAAAUAAAAUAAAAUUAUAAUAAAGAUCUGAAAUUGAUCGGCGCAGUCUUGUCGGGAAGAUGGUUGACGACCUCUUCUUCUUCCGUGGAGCGAACUGGCUUCUCUCCUUCUUCUCUUUGGAUCUCUAAACUUCUUCUAAUUUUUUAAUUUUUUCUUAUUUUCUCUGUUAUUUUUCUCUGCUUUUCUCUUAUUCCCAGACCUCCUUAUUUAUAGGUGAAUUUUUCAUCUUUUUCUGAUAGAAAACAGAGUCCUAAAACACCACAAAAUGUGUCCAACCCGCAUACAAUAUUUCUGGCCAUCGGAUCGUAUUUGGACCACUUAGAUCGCAUAAAAAAUCAUCACUUAUCUCUUUAUCACAGUCGAGAUUGAUACUAACUAUCCGAUCAGAUGAUGGAUUGAAUUUUGGCUGUUGAUUAGUGCACUGGAUCUCCUAUUGAAAGUCGGAUCAAAUACGGACCGUUGGAUUAGGCCUGAGAUUAAUUUUGGACCGUUAGAUGGUGCAAAAAUUAGCUUCUCAUUUAGUUCUCAACCGACAUCAACCACAACUAUUAAAUCAACCCCUGGAUCGAUUUUCAAUCAUUGGAUCGUGCAAAUACUAUGGGCCACCACCGUUGGAUAUGAGAUAGCACGUUUUAGCACCUCUUAACCGUUCGAUCGCGCAAAAACCAACCGUCCGCCCUAUGAACCGCAAUAUGGACCACAAAACUAUGCUUGUAGAUCGUGACUUUCUUUCUUCCAACGGCUUCUGAUUGCUUGAGAGAGAAAAGAUUCCAACGGCUUCUGAUUGCUUGAUAGAGAGAAGAAUCCAGGACUUUCUUCCAACGGCUUAAGACUGUUUGACAGAGAAAAGAUUGGCUUCUGAUGAUGUGUAGAGAUGUGAUGGACAGGGAGAGAGAGCAUGUUAAGAGAUUUAUUUGAGAAGAAAAUAGGACCGGUUC